Molecule: ribosomal RNA, 454 nt
Filed under: uncultured soil bacterium
Lineage: Bacteria
Description: bacterial SSU rRNA
Rfam family: Bacterial small subunit ribosomal RNA
Source: RNAcentral
AGAACGAACGCUGGCGGCAUGCCUAAUACAUGCAAGUCGAACGAACUCUUCGGAGUUAGUGGCGCACGGGUGCGUAACGCGUGGGAAUCUGCCCCUUGGUUCGGAAUAACAGUUGGAAACGACUGCUAAUACCGGAUGAUGACGAAAGUCCAAAGAUUUAUCGCCAAGGGAUGAGCCCGCGUAGGAUUAGCUAGUUGGUGAGGUAAAGGCUCACCAAGGCAACGAUCCUUAGCUGGUCUGAGAGGAUGAUCAGCCACACUGGGACUGAGACACGGCCCAGACUCCUACGGGAGGCAGCAGUAGGGAAUAUUGGACAAUGGGCGAAAGCCUGAUCCAGCAAUGCCGCGUGAGUGAUGAAGGCCUUAGGGUUGUAAAGCUCUUUACCCGAGUAUGAUAAUGACAGUAUCGGGAAGAAUAAGCCCCGGACUAACCGUCCGCGCCAGCAAGCCGACGU